This is a long non-coding RNA of Gallus gallus (chicken), 4445 nucleotides long. The record is from Ensembl. Lineage: Eukaryota; Metazoa; Chordata; Aves; Galliformes; Phasianidae.
CGUCCGGCCGUGCUUUACGACAGCGCUUUGCGGCAGCAAUCGGUGGGUUGAGACGGCCUCGCUCGGCGCUUCAGGGACGUGCGCCGGCCCUCAGCGCUGUGAUAUUUUACUUCUAGAGUUUGGUAUUCGCUAUGCAGAAUUCUCCAGAAGUACAAAAGGAGAAGCCAUCAAGUAGGCAAGGAGUCAAAUCAACUGAAAAUUUUAGCAUUUUGCAUUUUUAACACCAUUUUAUGUAGUUUCAAGUAUCAAGUGAACUGGACUUCAAUGUGAUAUCAUGAUGUUCAUUCUCUGCUUGGUCCUUGUCAUCUUCUAAGUCAAAUUCACACUUUUUACUUCAAACAGCAAAAUCACCACUGUAAGCUUCAGAAGGCUUUUGUCUUGUACAGUUUUGUCUUGUACAUUUUGAAGAUCAGCAGGAUCCUUCACUGAGAAGUAUGAAGUACAUCAGGAGAGAAGGUAACUAAAAGAUCAUGUUCAUCGUGUUCAGCAGCUGAAGAGUUUUCUAAACUCAAUUAGUGCAAGAAUGCUGUGACCAAUGGAAAAAUGUUUGAUGCUUGCCAGAAAGCAAAUCUCCCCAGCUCUUGAAAAUAGCGUUCUGAAAACAAGGCACACUGGUGUGUUAUCUGGACACUGCAUGCUGCCAGGAAUUUUGAAAUGGUCAAACCAGCAGAGUCCCUGCCUGGUAGACAACUGAUGGAGUGAUGGUUACCUGUUAUCAGCUGUAGCUAUUGAGAUGAGACAGUUCAGUUCUUGUUGUCUUGUCAUGUGUUAAUAGCUGAUGCAUUUUAAGUCAUCUCUCCACCCAGUGUUAACGCCUUGUUCAGGGAGGGCAGUAAAGAACUCUCAGGAUCUGGUAUCUCCAAGUGUCUCUUCUGUAUUUCUUUCCUGUUCCCAAGGGAAUCCAGUCUGUAAUAUCUACCCACUAGUAGAACUACAAGCAGUUCACAGAAACACAAACACAAGCAGUAUUACAACACACGUAUUAAAAUGACAUUUUUUUACAAGAUCAAAAACAAAUAGAAAAAAUAAAAGUGCUGUGGGAAAGCAUUUACCAAAUAAAAAUGUCUUUGGAGGCCUGAUUGUAUGUGGGUCUGUGAAUAACACUCAGGAGACUAUAAACUUUAGACAAACCAGAUGGUUAGACAGCAAUCCAGAUGGUUUUAUUUAUGCAGACAGAGUUCACAUUUAGGGAGGUGCUUUGUUCCUCUAGAGAAGGUUUCACACACAGAGUAGAAUUAUAUAUAUGGCGUAUGGUGAUAGACUGAAACAUUCAUAAAAAUUUAAGUCUCAUUGAGUAGUCUGUUGUCCUUUCAAUACAGAUAUCAUCGUAAUUACAUAACUGACAUGCUUGUUGGCUGCUCUUGCACAUGAUGUUGCUUCUUUUUACUGCAUUAGUAUCCAAGGGUUUUAGUGAGGAUUAUGACCAGUUUAUUUCGUUAUGUGUUAUAAAGUUGUAUUGGAAGAUGCAGUUCUUGUUUACAAGAGUUGAGAGUCUAAGGACAAUGAAAACACAAAAAUUGGCAAGCUAUGGAGGAAAGUAAGAGGGAGGUAACUGGAUAUAACUGAAAAAAUCUGAUAAGUAUCAGCUAGGAAAUCUCUCUCCUUUUUGGUAUCAGUGAAGGAGAUAGAAAAACAGCCUUGACACUUAUCAAAGUGACCUUCUAAUCCUUUAGCUUUAGUUUUACCCUAAGCCCAGAUAGUACAUCUAUCUUAACCACAAAGUCAGUGCAUGCCUACUUUUCAUAUUCUUCUAUGUGCAUAAAAUGGUGAUUUUAUACAACACAUGCCAUUCUCUGAUAAAAUGACAAACAGUAGUUAGCUUCCAGAUGAUUUCAAUACAAAGUGAAGAUCUUGGCUUAAAAACCUAAUGUUAGUUCUACUGCUCAGGCAGUAGCCUCCUGUAACACAGCAAUCUGGUGAUCUAUAAUGUCUUAUCAAACUCUUUUUUGAAUGUCUAAUCUAUCAUACCUAAUUUCACUGGAGUUUUUGGACCACUUUUUUUCUUUCUGAUUAUAUUACCUAUAGCUUCUUAUUGAUGUUUGGAAAAAGUAUUUCUGGAAGGGGUAUUUCUACAGUCACAUGUUGGUGUGGCAUGCAGUGACAUACAUUGUGAUUAGCAGAUUAAGAAGUAUGAAAUUGCUUUGGUGAUUUCCUUAAUGUACUUGAAAAGUAACAGGUGCCAGAGCUUUUGUUAUCCAUUCCAUAUGACCUAAAUUGUCUUUAUAUCUCUUCAACAGAGAUGUGUUCUGAACUUCUUCCUAUUAAACAUUCUGUCCAAUUUUGAUUUUGCUGAAAUUUCAUUUUAUCCAUAUUCUUGUUCAGCUACUGACAUUAUAAAAGUGUUCUUUUAGGUUUAUAACUUCUCAGUAGUGUUGUGGAGAUUCAGAAAAUAAGAGUAGGUUUCUUUUUUACUGGUAGCAAAGGUAUCAAGCUCACAUAAACAUUACAAAGACUACCUCAUAAUUUUAUUGGAACAUAUCGUCUUUCCAAAAUAAAUACCAUAGGAAAUGAUAGCAUCAGCAUUGCAUUUGUAAGUCACAACAGAAAGAAAAUCUGUAUUUUGAUGAUACCAAGCUGGGAGGUGCUGUUGAGUCUCUGAAAAGAGGAUAGACUUUGAAAGUGGACCAAGAUACGUCAGCAGGUGUGUGAAACACUUAGCAACAAAGAUACAAAGCAAUUAGCAAUAAUUCUCACAUCCUAAUCAUCACUGCACGUGGUCUUACACAGUAUAAGAUGCUGUUGAUGCAAUUUUGUGAAGUCUUGUUAAGUAGAGUUUGGGGAGUAUUUUAAGUAUUGAAAUAAAACUAUGCUGAUUUCAUGUAGCAUGUAAAUCAAUAGUUAGCUGUGAAAUAAAGCUCAAGUGUCAAAAAUGUUUAUAAUGUUUAUGGCAUUUAGGUGCCUGAUACCUGGUGCAAUACAACGCUCCUACCUGUAAGUCCACAGACUGGUCCAAAAAUAACACCUCCUAAUCGAUUAUGUUAGCCCACAACAUCAGAGGUGGAUGUUGGUGAUACUGCAGUAGAAGUUGAACCUUCCCUCCAAUAUUCCAUUCCAUUUUUUUUUGCUGUGUGAGAGAUGGCAGCAGAGGGGCAGUCUGACAAAAUGCCAUCUGACAUGAAAAGUCACAGAAAGCAAAGCUGUGGCAUUGAAUUCCUUCGUGUGGAAAAAAAUGGCAGCCAUUGACACUCGUCUACUGUUGCUGAAUGGUUUUGGAGACCAAACAGUGGAUGAGAGCACAGUAGGUGGCGCAUUUCAGCAGGGGUGACAGCAACAUGAAAGACAAGCCAUGUUCCAGAUGGCCAUGCAGAUUUUUAUAAGCACAGCAUAUUCUUUGCUGCUUUUAUUCACUGCUGGCAAAAAUAUAUGGCUAAUGGUAACUAUGUUAAAAAACAGAGUUUUGUAGCUGAGAAUGUGCACUGUCAAAUAAUGGUUUUGUACUCUUUGUAUCUGUGGCAGUUUGCAUGGAAAUAAAUAGGAGGCAUUGCUUUUGGAGCAAACUAAGUAAAUUAGGAGGCUGAGAUCCAUCUGCAGUAUCACAUAGAUUUGUAGUCUAUAUCUAAUUGAAAGUUAAUUAGAUUAGACUUUUUAAGGUAUCUGUAUCUUUUGAAAAUAGGACUUCUGUUCAUUAUCACUGGAAACUUUUUGUUUAUUUUAUAUCCAGCGUGCUCUCUGUAUCAAAUAGAGUAGCCCUCUCACAUCUAGCAAAGCCAUUACUUGAUAGGAGCUGAAAGCAAAUAGGACAAAUAUCUCACAGACAGACUGGAAUUGAGCCUUGGGACAAAAGCUGUAGAACGUUAUGGAGUGAAAGAAUAUAUUCCACUGAACUUAAAGAUACUCUUAUACUAUUACUCUAAUAUAAAUACUUUGUGUGUGUGUGUGGUGUUUUUGUUUUGUUUUUAAGAAUGGAUUAAAAGCUCUUCAAGUCUGCUUAUUGUGCAUUCUGGGCUCAGUUGCUAGCUGUUUAUUUUAAGAGUUUAUUUUGACAGAUAAUUCCCAUAUAAUCUCUACCAUGUCAUUCCAUUCCGUGGUCAGUGACAUUUUAACUUCCAGGCUUUAUUCAAAACCCUGCUGGAGCAGGCAGAUAGAUAAGCCAUCAACAUAACUUUUCACAACCUUCCAUGAUCCCAAAAUCAGUUCAGUAAAAAUCAUGUGUUUUUUUUCGCAUCGUAUGGAGCUGAGAUCAGUAUUUUUUUUUAUCCAAAGACAACAACAAUUUUCAAAUCUGUUGGAAAUUUAUUUUAAUACUUUCUUUUGUUCAAAUCUUUUUAAUUAAAAAGCUUGAGAUUUUCUAUAUUACAUAAUUCUUACAGUUCACAUUUAAUAAAUUUAAGCAUGCUUAAUAAUAUUAAAAUGUGACGUAUUGAUUUAUCUUUUGAAGAGAGUUAUGCAGUUGUAUCUUAUGUGAGCUGGACAGGAUACUUGCCUUUGAACAGCACAAAAAAUUG